Molecule: ribosomal RNA, 468 nt
Filed under: uncultured bacterium
Lineage: Bacteria
Description: partial 16S ribosomal RNA
Rfam family: Bacterial small subunit ribosomal RNA
Source: RNAcentral
GACGAACGCUGGCGGCGUGCUUAACACAUGCAAGUCGAACGGAAAGGCCCUGCUUUUGUGGGGUGCUCGAGUGGCGAACGGGUGAGUAACACGUGAGUAACCUGCCCAUGACUUUGGGAUAACUUCAGGAAACUGGGGCUAAUACCGGAUAGGAGCUCCUGCUGCAUGGGGGGGGUUGGAAAGUUUCGGAGGUUGGGGCUGGACUCUCGGCUUAUCAGCUUGUUGGUGGGGUAGUGGCUUACCAAGGCUUUGGCGGGUAGCCGGCCUGAGAGGGUGACCGGCCACAUUGGGACUGAGAUACGGCCCAGACUCCUACGGGAGGCAGCAGUGGGGAAUAUUGCACAAUGGGCGGAAGCCUGAUGCAGCAACGCCGCGUGCGGGAUGACGGCCUUCGGGUUGUAAACCGCUUUCGCCUGUGACGAAGCGUGAGUGACGGUAAUGGGUAAAGAAGCACCGGCUAACUACGUG